RNAcentral lists this ribosomal RNA (362 nucleotides) under uncultured rumen bacterium. RNAcentral's name for it is "bacterial SSU rRNA". It matches the Rfam family "Bacterial small subunit ribosomal RNA", at positions 19 to 362 of the family's 1533-position model. The record is from RNAcentral.
UUGGCUCAGGAUGAACGCUGGCGGCGUGCCUAACACAUGCAAGUCGAACGAAGCACUGGAAAUGAUUCCUUCGGGUUGAUUUUCCUUUGACUGAGAGGCGGACGGGUGAGUAACACGUGAGCAGCCUGCCUUUCAGAGCGGGAUAGCAGUUGGAAACGACUGAUAAUACCGCAUGACAUGUCUCUUCCGCAUGAGAGAGACAUCAAAUGAUUUUUCGCUGAAAGAUGGGCUCGCGUCCGAUUAGAUAGUUGGUGAGGCAACGGCUCACCAAGCCGACGAUCGGUAGCCGGACUGAGAGGUCGAUCGGCCACAUUGGGACUGAGGCACGGCCCAGACUCCUACGGGAGGCAGCAGUGGGGAUA